RNAcentral lists this ribosomal RNA (482 nucleotides) under uncultured bacterium. Its description in RNAcentral is "partial 16S ribosomal RNA". It matches the Rfam family "Bacterial small subunit ribosomal RNA", at positions 28 to 507 of the family's 1533-position model. The record is from RNAcentral.
GAUGAACGCUAGCGGCAGGCCUAAUACAUGCAAGUCGAACGAGAUUACGAGGCUUGCUUCUUAUGAAAGUGGCGCACGGGUGCGUAACGCGUAUGCAACCUACCUUAAUCAGGGGGAUAGCCCGAAGAAAUUCGGAUUAAGACCGCAUAAAAACACAGGAUAGCAUUAUCCAAUGUUCAAAUAUUUAUAGGAUUAAGAUGGGCAUGCGUGUCAUUAGCUAGUUGGCGGGGUAACGGCCCACCAAGGCGACGAUGACUAGGGGAUCUGAGAGGAUGACCCUCCACACUGGUACUGAGACACGGACCAGACUCCUACGGGAGGCAGCAGUAAGGAAUAUUGGUCAAUGGAGGGAACUCUGAACCAGCCAUGCCGCGUGCAGGAAGACAGCCCUCUGGGUCGUAAACUGCUUUUAUUCGGGAAUAAACCUUUCUACGUGUAGGAAGCUGAAUGUACCGAAGGAAUAAGGAUCGGCUAACUCCGUG